This is a non-coding RNA of Equus caballus (horse), 3117 nucleotides long. NCBI's taxonomy places the organism in Eukaryota, Metazoa, Chordata, Mammalia, Perissodactyla, Equidae. The record is from RefSeq and is a predicted model, not a curated record.
AUGAAUAAGUGAAGGUAAAAUAAAAACUUUUAUCUUUUCUUAUUCUUAAUUGAUCUAACAGAUAACAAUUUGUUCAAAGUAAUAAUACCAACAGUGUAUUUGAUUAUGUAGACUUAUGUGUGUAUGUGUGUCUGUAUACAUAUAUAUAAGCAUAUGUAUAAGUGAAAUAAAAGACAGCAAUGAUACAAGGGAUGGGAGGAAAGAGUUAGGAAUAUUUCGUUAUAAGGUACUCACAUUACCCAUGAAGCAGUGCAGUGUUAAUUGAAAGUGGGUUUAGAUUAGUUGUAUAUUGCAAACUUUAGGAAAACCACCAAAAAAAGUAAAGAAAAAAAGCAUAAUUGAUAUGCUAAGACAGGAGACAAAAUGGAAUCAAAGGAAAUGCUCAAUACCACCAAAGACAGAAAAAGUGUGGAAGACAAAAAUAGGAACAAAGAACAAGGGCAGCAAAUAGAAAACAGUAACAAAUAUGAUAGAUAUUAAUCCAAUUGUAUUAAUAAUAACUUUAAAUGUUAAUAAUAACUAAUUAAAACACAGAGAUUGUCAGAGUGGAGCAAAGAAAGCAGGUGGUGAAAUAAUAGAAUAAGAAUACAGAAAUAGACCCCAUGCAAAGCAAGCCCAGAAUCAGAAACAUACGUAUAUGGCAACUUGGUACAGAGAGGAGAUUAUAAUUCAGAGGGGGAAAUGGACUAUUUAAUAAAUUAUAUGACAACUGGGAAAAUAAUAAAAUUAGAGCCCCACUUAAUACCAUACAUAAAACCUAACCCUAAAAAGCAGGAGUUUAAAACUCUUAGAAUAAAAUCACGGAGGAGGAUAGGACUUCUUAAGCAAGAUACCAAAAGCAUAAUCCAUAAAGGAAAAAUAUGAUAAAUUUCACUACACCAAACAGAAACAUUCCACAUGACCAAAGAUACCCGCAAUGGAUCUAGUGAAUUUGCUGGCUCACCGUUCAUUUAUUCAUUUAAUGAAUAUUUAUUUGCUUAGUUGGUGGGGUCCCAGCUGUUGACAAAAUAAACCAAAUUCCUGCCCACAUUUAGCUAUUCCAGUGGGAGAGUAAAACAUGAAGAAAAAUAAAAAAGAAAAGGAAGAUAGGGCUAAAUGAGGGAAAGACUUGUAAUCUACCACAAGAUAAAGUUAGGAGAAGCUGUACUCUAAAAGUGACAGCUGAACAAAGAACUAAUGGAGGGACAAGAGAGAAGCGUGCAAGUACUUGGGGGGACAAGCAUUCCAAGCAGAGGAAUAGAAAUGCCUAACUUCCUUCUAGUAUGUCUUUCUGUACAGAAGAUAUUGAAUAACUGAAAACUACUUUACCCAGCCUGCCUUGCAAAUAGGGGUUCAGAUCUGAUGGAGGUUCCUCCAAUCAGAUAUGUACAAAUCACAAAAGACUUGACAUCAGAACUGAGUAGAGAGAAGGAUGGAAUGUGGACAUGCAUUUUGCCGGUACAAAUUUUGGCAGACGCUUCUGAAACUUGAAGAUUUGGCAGGAAGUUAUCUGAUCAUAACCAAGAUGGUGUGAUUUUUCACCCAAAAGCUUUAGCAACAGAGGUAGAAUGGUUUUGGAGCCAGAUGCUUUAGUUAUGAUUUAAAUUUGGCAGGCACCUUCCUGAUCUUGGCAGGAGCAGUAGCUCCCCUGGUAGCCCUAAUGUGAUGUGAGGCUUUAGGUAUUAAUUCUGGAAGUUCACUUAAAAUUCACUUCAUCUGUCCACCAAAAUAAUUCUGUAAGCCAUUUAAUGUCCACUAAUAUACUCCUUUCUGCUGAAACUACAGUAUAUUCUACUCUCUUCAACUUAAUUCUGACCAAUAGAGUAGUACCAUCAAUGGCUAUAGAUGACAUCCUCUCAAGAAAAUGGGAACCUGUGAUGGAUUUUCUGACCUAGGUGGGUUUUUAAGGAAGCAAGAAUACUAGCAUCAGUUGAUGGGACCCAGAAAAUCUGUUACUUAAGUGAUCACCUGUGAUUGCCUGGAAUGAAGUGCCUACUGAAGGCAAGACUUGCAAACCAUAUUACUAUAAAAGGGAGAAUGAGUAAUACAAGGUUUGUGGGGUGGGCCAUCUGCUUUUAACUGUACCAAAAAACCUUAAAUAAAGACAAUGACAAACCAGGAUUUAAAAUUCCAGGCUCCAGGCAUGAUUACAGAUUCAGGGAGCUUCUGUAAUUGCCCUAAAAUAAACUCUUGCAUCUGUAGGUCCAGAGCAACCAUAUCUGAAAAUAAGAUAUAGAGUCUGAUCUUCCAAGUUUCAGAGUUACAAUGGAACCUGAUUUUAUAGGAUUUCUGGAGCUUAUAUGUAAAAAUCAGGGACUACUGGGGAUAUAGUGAGACCCAAAGAGCAUUUGGAUUAAUUCAGAUAACUGGGAUCCACAAAACGUUGACUCACUGAAUCCCCCUUGCCAGCAGCCCCUCUUCCCUUUAUGUUGAGGCUGUCCUUUCCCUGCCUGAAAUCCCUGGAGCAACCUCACUUGAGGAAGCUACCUCAUGCCUCACCUCUGCCACUUCUUAUAUCCAGUCCAGAUCUAUAACUAGAGUCAUGCUCCAUUAAGAGAAGCUCUGUCACAUGACAGGGACAAGAUUUUGCUAAUUUUCACCUCCAGAAAACUGGGAAUAUGUAUAAAGAUGGAGAAGCAAAGAACAGGAUUUUUGAUAGAGUCAAAUUUGUUGACAGAGGAUUCUCAAUUCAAUGUGUUUAAAAUUAUUUUGGAGUGGUUAUAAUCAUUUGUUUGCUUGAGUGACUGAAAUGUAUUUUCAAUGGUGGACAAUGUUCAGUGGAUUUGAGACGUCAGAAGUUCCUUAGCAAAAUGCAGAAGAAGGAAGAGAAAUAUUUAAGGAGAAAGGAAAACUUCAGUGGAUUUAUAAUGUUCACUUUUUCUCCUACUCUCCAUUGUCUCUCAGAAGGCCCCGGAGGAUACUCCCUCCACCAAGAUAUUGAGAAAAUAGUGACAGAAGUAUCAGCAGUCUUAAAAAGCUCUCCAGCUCUGGGUUACAAUCUAGUCUGCAGAGACCAUUACCAUCUCACCAUCUCAUAAUGCUGUAUAACAUCAGACUGGCCAACUACUUUGAUGAUAUUCUCAUAGAACUGGGUGAAUAGAUUUCAGAGACUGGAUAAUAAACUCCAAUGAAAAUCCA